Molecule: long non-coding RNA, 306 nt
Organism: Drosophila navojoa
Lineage: Eukaryota; Metazoa; Arthropoda; Insecta; Diptera; Drosophilidae
Gene: Hil
Source: RefSeq, a predicted model, not a curated record
AUUUGCUGUUAAUUAACAGCACUCAAAGCUCGUUGCUCGGCUUGGAGCUUAGACAUGUCUCAAAGCUCGGAUCAGUCUCUCGGCGAUCGUUAACGAAGUAGCGUGCGCAACGGUCGGCUUUACUUUGCCUUGCACUUGUGUGUGUGUUUAUGAAUAUAUAUGUGUAUGUGUGCGUUUGCUACUGGCCUGAGCAGCAGCCGCAGCAGCUGAUGUGGAACAUGGCUCACAAAUUGGCUGGCCAAUAAAUUAACAUAGGAGCUGAACAAGCCAAACCGAAAGUGUCACGAUCAACAACAACAACAACAA